This 667-nucleotide long non-coding RNA is filed under the name Oryctolagus cuniculus (rabbit). RNAcentral's name for it is "lncRNA (ENSOCUG00000038769.1)". The record is from RNAcentral. Lineage: Eukaryota; Metazoa; Chordata; Mammalia; Lagomorpha; Leporidae.
CUCAGGGAGGAAGAAAGGCCUGAAAUGUGUGUAUUAAGAUGAUUACCAUGUGCUUGGGAAUAUCCUUUAAUUUAAAUUUUGUUUUAUUUUAUUUUUAGCUUCAAAGCUUUUGCAGGAAUGAACACCUGUCUUUCCGGGCAUUAUAAGAAAUUGUCAGCUUACAAAGGCACUGUCCAAAAGGCCUGGUUGCACUGGAAGUCUGUUGCAGUGUGUGCUGUUUAAAGCACUCGAGCCAUGGAAGUAGAUCUCGGAAAUCCUUGGGGUGACAUCAGCUCCAAAAAUUGUACCUGGGGUGUUUACAUAAACAGAAGGACCGUGUAGGACCCACUGAACAACUCUGAAUUAAGUUCAAAUGCAAGUAAAAUAUCCAAGAAAAAAUCCAGGUUGUUCCCAAGCCAAGCAAUCAUAUGGAAGCAUUGAACUACACUUGAUUGAGUUUUUAGGGGUUUCCAACUCCCUUCUGCCCCAGGCUCCUAAAGAACUCAUGUAAUGGUUUAAGUCACAAUCUGUCACAUAAGGAAUUGUCAUUUCUGAUGGAGCAAUAAUCUGAGCAUAGUUUUUCACUUUGUAAAGGAGAUGGUAAUUGUGAUGGGCUCUGUUUUUCUGAUGGGGCGAUCCUCUGGUGUGGAGUGACAAUUUGAAUAAAGUAAAGUUUUGAAGAGUUGCA